GCCAGACUCCUACGGGAGGCAGCAGUGGGGAAUCUUCCGCAAUGGGCGAAAGCCUGACGGAGCAACGCCGCGUGAUCGAAUGAAGGCCUUCGGGUUGUAAAGAUCUGUUGACAGGGACGAAUAAGCAAUGCGAAUAGUUUUGUGUAUGACGGUACCUGUUUAGAAAGCUCCGGCUAACUACGUGCCAGCAGCCGCGGUAAUACGUAGGGGGCAAGCGUUAUCCGGAUUCACUGGGCGUAAAGGGAGCGCAGGCGGCAUGGCAAGUCUGAUGUGAAAACCCGGGGCCCAACCCCGGGAGUGCAUUGGAAACUGCCAGGCUGGAGUGUCGGAGGGGUAAGCGGAAUUCCUAGUGUAGCGGUGAAAUGCGUAGAUAUUAGGAGGAACACCAGUGGCGAAGGCGGCUUACUGGACGACUACUGACGCUGAGGCUCGAAAGCGUGGGGAGCAAACAGGAUUAGAUACCCCUGUAGUU
This 472-nucleotide ribosomal RNA is filed under the name uncultured bacterium. Its description in RNAcentral is "bacterial SSU rRNA". It matches the Rfam family "Bacterial small subunit ribosomal RNA", at positions 330 to 795 of the family's 1533-position model. The record is from RNAcentral.